This 371-nucleotide ribosomal RNA is filed under the name uncultured bacterium. RNAcentral describes it as "bacterial SSU rRNA". It matches the Rfam family "Bacterial small subunit ribosomal RNA", at positions 527 to 896 of the family's 1533-position model. The record is from RNAcentral.
GGGGGGGGCAAGCGUUGUUCGGAAUUACUGGGCGUAAAGGGCUCGUAGGCGGCCAACUAAGUCGGAUGUGAAAUCCCCAGGCUUAACCUGGGAACUGCAUCCGAUACUGGAUGGCUUGAAUCCGGGAGAGGGGUGCGGAAUUCCAGGUGUAGCGGUGAAAUGCGUAGAUAUCUGGAGGAACACCGGUGGCGAAGGCGGCAUCCUGGACCGGCAUUGACGCUGAGGAGCGAAAGCCAGGGGAGCAAACGGGAUUAGAUACCCCGGUAGUCCUGGCCCUAAACGAUGAAUGCUUGGUGUGGCGGGUAUCGAUCCCUGCCGUGCCGAAGCUAACGCAUUAAGCAUUCCGCCUGGGGAGUACGGUCGCAAGGCUG